Long non-coding RNA from Gavialis gangeticus (Gharial), 1416 nucleotides. RefSeq lists it as uncharacterized. The transcript is spliced from 2 exons. NCBI's taxonomy places the organism in Eukaryota, Metazoa, Chordata, Crocodylia, Gavialidae. The record is from RefSeq and is a predicted model, not a curated record.
GGCCGGGAGGAUCCUGUCUGCUCUGGCCCGUGUGACACUGGCUCAUGAUCCCCGCCGAGGACUCUGCCUCGAGCCUGUGAAUCACCUUGGGCAGCGCAGUAUCUUUCAGAGGGGCAGCCCGGCUGCAUGGGAAGGCGUCCAGCAAGGCAUCUUCUUAAGUCACUCAUUUCAGAGAUGGGCACCGGAAUUGAACGCAUGUAUCUUGCUGUUGCUGUAUGUAGAGGUGGCAGUACAUCCUCCUUGUCCCAUCUGAUAUUCUUCUGCAUAAACUUCCAAAGAUCAUAUCACUCUGAAAUAAAGUAUUACUUUGGAAAAUUAUAUUCAGUUGUUUAUCCCCCAUGAUCCCAAAAUCUUUACACAGAGACUAUAUUCAAAGGUGCAGUCUCCCAUCUUGUAAGUGUGGCCUAUUGCUCUAUGACCUUGCAUUUGACUUUAUUAAAAUGUGUGACUGUGUUGUUCAACUGAGCCCAUAUUAGCAAGCAGUCCAGGUCAGCCUGUAUAAUUGAACCUGUUGUCAUCAUUAUUCACCAGUUUUUGUGUCAUCCGCAAACUUUAUCAGGAAUUAUUUUAUAUUUUUCCAGGCCAUUGAUAAAAAAUUUGAAUAGCUUUGGACCAAGUACAAAUCCCUUCAGGACCCCAUUAAUAACACCUCCAGUGGAUUAUGAGUCUUUAUUUAUAAUUCCUUUUUUGCAAUCUAUAUGCUAAUGCUAACCAGUUUAAAUCCUUUAAUAGGGGCUACACAGAUUUUGUAUAGUGCUAAUUUUUGUUAUCAGAAUGUCAUGCAGAACUAAAUGAAAUGCCUUGCAGAAAGAAUUCCAUUAUGCUAACACUUAACUUUACUAACCACUUUUUUAAUUUAAAAAUAAUUUUGACACAGACCUAUUUUCCAUAAAAACAUGGUGAUUGUCAUUAAUUACUCUAUAUCCAUUAAUUUUGUAUUGAUUGUAUCCCGUAUUGGCCUUUCCAUGAUUUUGCCAGGGGCUGAUAGCAGGCUAACAAGCCUGUGGUUUCCUUUUUCAAUAUUGGCUUGAUACUAAUUUUUUCCCUGGUGCUCUGGAAUUUCUCCAAUUAUUCAAAAUCUGUUAAGAAUUAGUAAUAGUGUUUCUGAAUGCUCCUCAGAUAAUUCUUAUAAUACUUUUUGGUGCAGAAUUUAAAAUGGUUGACUGCAGUAGUUGUCUAACAUUCUCUUGCCACUGUUGAAAUAGGACAGGAGUCAGCAACCUAUGGCUUGUGGGCCAGAUCCAGCCUGCAGAACCAUUGGAUCUGGCCUGUGGAUGUAUAGGCAGCUGGAAAAGUUUGCCUGUACCUGAAUAGGAAGUAUUUAAUUAUCACUGUAUGGUAUGAAUAAUCAUGCUGCUUCUUUCUAAAUGCCGAACAUAAAAAACCCAAAGUAUUAAAUAAAUAUUUACAUCAGGA